This 450-nucleotide ribosomal RNA is filed under the name uncultured bacterium. RNAcentral describes it as "partial 16S ribosomal RNA". It matches the Rfam family "Bacterial small subunit ribosomal RNA", at positions 354 to 796 of the family's 1533-position model. The record is from RNAcentral.
GUGGGGAAUAUUGGACAAUGGGCGAAAGCCUGAUCCAGCCAUGCCGCGUGUGUGAAGAAGGUCUUCGGAUUGUAAAGCACUUUAAGUUGGGAGGAAGGGUAGUAACCUAAUACGUUGCUACUUUGACGUUACCGACAGAAUAAGCACCGGCUAACUUCGUGCCAGCAGCCGCGGUAAUACGAAGGGUGCAAGCGUUAAUCGGAAUUACUGGGCGUAAAGCGCGCGUAGGUGGUUCAGUAAGUUGGAAGUGACAUCCCCGGGCUCAACCUGGGAACUGCUUUCAAAACUGCUGAGCUAGAGUACGGUAGAGUGUGGUGGAAUUUCCUGUGUAGCGGUGAAAUGCGUAGAUAUAGGAAGGAACACCAGUGGCGAAGGCGACCACCUGGACUGAUACUGACACUGAGGUGCGAAAGCGUGGGGAGCAAACAGGAUUAGAUACCCCUGUAGUCC